GAUGAAGAACGCAGCGAAAUGCGACACGUAAUGUGAAUUGCAGAAUUCAGUGAAUCAUCGAAUCUUUGAACGCAUAUUGCGCUCUCUGGUAUUCCGGAGAGCAUGCUUGUUUGAGUAUCAGUAAACACCUCAACUUCCAUAUCUUUUUUGAAAUGGGAGUUGGACUUGAGUGAUCCCAACGCUUUUCCUCACCGAAAAGUGGCGGGUUACUUGAAAUGCAGGUGCAGCUGGACUUUUCUCUGAGCUAUAAGCAUAUCUAUUUAGUCUGCCUAAAAAACAGAUUAUUACCUUUGCUGCAGCUAACAUAAAGGAGAUUAGUUCUUGUGCUGACUGAUGCAGGAUUCACAAAGACAGCUUCGGCCGACUUUGUAAACUCGAUCUCAAAUCAAGUAAGACUACCCGCUGAACUUAAGCAUAUCAAUAAGCGGAGGA
Molecule: unclassified non-coding RNA, 432 nt
Filed under: soil metagenome
Description: partial contains 5.8S ribosomal RNA, internal transcribed spacer 2, and large subunit ribosomal RNA
Rfam family: 5.8S ribosomal RNA (bases 1-120)
Source: RNAcentral